RNAcentral lists this ribosomal RNA (437 nucleotides) under Pediococcus pentosaceus. RNAcentral describes it as "bacterial SSU rRNA". It matches the Rfam family "Bacterial small subunit ribosomal RNA", at positions 250 to 679 of the family's 1533-position model. The record is from RNAcentral. Lineage: Bacteria; Bacillati; Bacillota; Bacilli; Lactobacillales; Lactobacillaceae.
UGGUGAGGUAAAGGCUCACCAAGGCAAUGAUACGUAGCCGACCUGAGAGGGUAAUCGGCCACAUUGGGACUGAGACACGGCCCAGACUCCUACGGGAGGCAGCAGUAGGGAAUCUUCCACAAUGGACGCAAGUCUGAUGGAGCAACGCCGCGUGAGUGAAGAAGGGUUUCGGCUCGUAAAGCUCUGUUGUUAAAGAAGAACGUGGGUAAGAGUAACUGUUUACCCAGUGACGGUAUUUAACCAGAAAGCCACGGCUAACUACGUGCCAGCAGCCGCGGUAAUACGUAGGUGGCAAGCGUUAUCCGGAUUUAUUGGGCGUAAAGCGAGCGCAGGCGGUUUUUUAAGUCUGAUGUGAAAGCCUUCGGCUCAACCGAAGAAGUGCAUUGGAAACUGGGAGACUUGAGUGCAGAAGAGGACAGUGGAACUCCAUGUGUAGC